UACAGAGGGUGCAAGCGUUAAUCGGAAUUACUGGGCGUAAAGCGCGCGUAGGUGGUUCGUUAAGUUGGAUGUGAAAUCCCCGGGCUCAACCUGGGAACUGCAUUCAAAACUGUCGAGCUAGAGUAUGGUAGAGGGUGGUGGAAUUUCCUGUGUAGCGGUGAAAUGCGUAGAUAUAGGAAGGAACACCAGUGGCGAAGGCGACCACCUGGACUGAUACUGACACUGAGGUGCGAAAGCGUGGGGAUCAAACAGG
This 253-nucleotide ribosomal RNA is filed under the name uncultured bacterium. RNAcentral describes it as "partial 16S ribosomal RNA". It matches the Rfam family "Bacterial small subunit ribosomal RNA", at positions 524 to 776 of the family's 1533-position model. The record is from RNAcentral.